ACAUAUUAUUACAUAAUCGCCAUGCAUAAGUGUAUUGUUUUUAGUAAAACAUCUGAAGUAUCGCCUAGCCACAUUAUGUUGGUUUUAAUUUGUAAUUUGUUCACAACUAUAGUUUUCCAAAAAAUGAAAAUAGAAGGAAAUAAUGGCUAAACAUAUUGUGCGAAUUAAAUGAUCAUCCUAAUUUCUAUCUGGCAUAGUGUCUGCGGAUUAUUUCACAAUUAGUGAUUGUAAACAAUGCUCUCAAAACAUAAUCCAAACCAUUCGUCUGGGAUAGAGUAGUAAAAUAAAUUUUAGGAACUUACAGCGUCAUUGGUACUACUCUGAUCACGACUAGUAAAUCACAUUUAAGAGAAAAUUGUGUUUCGAAUGAAGGUAUCGGUCUUGCUGCGCUGUGCCGCUGCGGUGGUAGACAACAGUGUUGUCUCCAGAACCGAAAAAUGUAAACGAGGAUGGAGCGUGACGUUGCUACUCAGUGCCGGUCGUUAGCAGACAAAAAAUUGCACAAAUGCUCGAGACGUGCAUGUUGGCCAGAAUAUUGUGUUUUUCCGACAAUGAAUGAGAAGAAAAUGUACAGACGAAUAAAGAAUAUGGAGACCUUACAGUUGAUAAAAGUAUCGCCUAGCCACAUUAUGUUAGUUUUAAUUUAUUUCCAAAAAAUGAAAAUAGAGGGAAAUAAUGGCUAAACAACUUUGAAUUAAAUGAUUAUCCCAAUUUCUACCUGACAUAGUAUCUGCGGAUAAUUUCACAAUUACUGAUUGUAAACAAUGCACUCAAAACAUAAUCCAAACCGUUUGUCUGAUUAGAGAAGUAAACUAAAUUUUAGUAAUGUACAGUGACAUUGGUACUACUCUGAGCAUGACUAAUAGCUUCUAUAAAAUUGUGUUUCGAAUGAAGGUGUCGGUCGUGCUGUGCUGUGCCGCUGCGGUGGUAGACAACUGUGUUGUCUCCAGAACCGAACAAUGUCUGCGAGGGUGGAGCAUGAUGUUGCUACUCGUUACGGGUCGUUAGCAGACAAAAAAUUGCAGAAAUGCUCAAGACAUGCAUGACGGCCAGAAUAUUGUGUUUUUCCGACGAUGAGUGAGAAGAAAAUGAACAGACGAAUAAAGGAUAUGGAGACCUUACAGUUUAUGAUUUUAAUUCACCCAGAAAAUCCUUAGAAACUUAAUAAUGUCUAAUUCACAUACUCUUAUUUUAUACAAUAGAUUAUACCUAUUAUGGUUUUCAUAACUUAUAUAUUUCAAAUAUCAUAUAUUUUGAUGUACCACAUACAAGGAACUAGGAAGUCGAGCCAAUGUAUUGACAAUUUUUCAAAUGUUGACUUUCUUGAAAAUAAUUCUGCCGACUUAGAUGAAGCCAUACAAUAUUGGAGUUCACGGAACACAUUGUAUAAUAUCUAUAAUUGUGUGAUACAAUUUUGCUGAGCAAGAAUCUAAUUUCAAUAACACAGAGGGCCUCAACAUAUUUAAAUUGCACGACUAGUAAAUCGCAUCUAAGAGAAAAUUAUAUUUCUCCAACGAUGAGUUUGAAGAAAAUGAACAGACAAAUAAAGGAUUUAGAGACGUUACAGUUGAUGAAUUUAAUUCACCCAGAAAAUCCUUAGAAACUUAAUAAUGCCUAAUUCACAUACACUUAUUUCAUUCAGUGGAUUAUUAUACUUAUAUUUUCCAAACUGAAAUAUACGAUGUACCACAUACAAGGAACUAGGAAGUCGAUCAAAUAUCCUGACAAUUUUUCAGACGUUGACUUUCAUUAAGAUAAUUCUAUCGACUUAGGUGAAGCCAUACAAUAUUGGAGCAAAUUAUGAAAUUUAAGGGUGAAAAUAUUGUUGUCAAUACAAUUUUGUUGAGCAAGAAUCCAAUUUCAAUAACACAGAAGAGGGCCUCAAUAUAUCUAAAUUGCAAAGAAACACGUAACUAGUUUAGACUUCAGUAUCUUUUAUGAAAGGAAAGUAAAUAUAGUUGGAUGACAGGUAAAAAUUGAAAAUUCAUAGGUGUUUUCAAAUACAUUGGGCAAAUCAGUUCUUUUAGCAUUUUCUAUACACCAUACAAUUUUUAAAACUUAUUCUUUUUGAGCUAACUAUAGGGGAUAAGACAUUUUAAUGGAAUCUUAUUAAAAUCAUAAGUUUUCUUUAUUUAUUGUCAUUUUAACAAAUCCCAUACCUAAUUGAUUAUAAUGUUGAUAGUAAACGGUUAUCAACUGCGUUUAUUUUUAGAAACAAAAAAUUAUUUUAGAACUUGUCACUAUUGAUCUGAUUGUUAUGACAAUUGAUCUGUAUUUUUAUUGAACUUUUUUUUGGGACAUUGCGAAUAAGUAGCAACUUGAUACAAAAUAAAGUUUUAUUGAAGUGUGCAAUCAUGUGAACAUCUAAACUUUCAUAUAGAUAUAAACUAAUAAGUUGUACACCUUAAUUAAUGGUACAGGUUAAUCUGAAUUGUUUAUUUUAUAUUUAAUAUCACAUUUAUUUAUUACUUAUAUCUUUCAGGUCCAUAGUCUAUGUGUUGCUGUUUAGUAGAUCAAGCAAUGGUUAUUACUAGAUUUAAAUGUUAAUAAUAAAAUAAAAUCUUAUUUACAAAAUACUCUGCUCAAAAAUUUAAAUAUUUACUUUCCAAAUACCUACUAAUAAAAUUGUCUCACAUAUUUUAUUAUCAUAAUGUUUUUAGAGUUUACACACAUAUUUUGCAUGUGUCUUGUUCUAAACAAUUGGAUCAAAAGCCACAUCCAGAUUUUAUCACACAUAUAAUUUGUGAUAUUGUAACAAUUGUACAAGAUUUUUGGAUAAACGUGACUUCACCUGUCAGAAUGGUUGUCAUGAGCAUAUAAAUAUAUUUUAUUGAAGAUGUUGUUGAUAGGCUGUUAAAAAAUUUGGAUUGUCCUACAUACAUACAUACAUGCAUACAUACAAAGUUUACUCGUCGUCAAACCCGUUCCCAUUCAUGGAAUUUACUUCUCAACAAGAAAAGACAUACCUCUUUGGAAAAGCGAACACCAAUUAUCUUCAGUUGCACUGUGAAUCAUCUUUGUGUAUAAAACUAUUUGUCUAAGACUUAUUUAUAAUUAUAAGAAAACUUUAUUUUUAAAUUUUAUAGUUAGGGAAAAAAGUAUUUAAAAUCUUUAUUAGUUAUACUACCAUAGUUUUCAUACUUGUCGUAUUUAUAUUUAUAGCUUAAUUGUAAAUUAAAAUUUAGAAAUAUAAUAUGACUAAUGUGUUGUAAUUUAUUGUUAUACUUGUAGCAGUUUUUUGUACAUAAUA
This is a long non-coding RNA of Metopolophium dirhodum (rose-grain aphid), 3250 nucleotides long. RefSeq lists it as uncharacterized. The record is from RefSeq and is a predicted model, not a curated record. The transcript has 13 exons. NCBI's taxonomy places the organism in Eukaryota, Metazoa, Arthropoda, Insecta, Hemiptera, Aphididae.